RNAcentral lists this ribosomal RNA (849 nucleotides) under Microbacterium sp. A-04. RNAcentral describes it as "bacterial SSU rRNA". It matches the Rfam family "Bacterial small subunit ribosomal RNA", at positions 19 to 877 of the family's 1533-position model. The record is from RNAcentral. Lineage: Bacteria; Bacillati; Actinomycetota; Actinomycetes; Micrococcales; Microbacteriaceae.
CUGGCUCAGGAUGAACGCUGGCGGCGUGCUUAACACAUGCAAGUCGAACGGUGAACACGGAGCUUGCUCUGUGGGAUCAGUGGCGAACGGGUGAGUAACACGUGAGCAACCUGCCCCUGACUCUGGGAUAAGCGCUGGAAACGGCGUCUAAUACUGGAUAUGUGACGUGAUCGCAUGGUCUGCGUCUGGAAAGAAUUUCGGUUGGGGAUGGGCUCGCGGCCUAUCAGCUUGUUGGUGAGGUAAUGGCUCACCAAGGCGUCGACGGGUAGCCGGCCUGAGAGGGUGACCGGCCACACUGGGACUGAGACACGGCCCAGACUCCUACGGGAGGCAGCAGUGGGGAAUAUUGCACAAUGGGCGCAAGCCUGAUGCAGCAACGCCGCGUGAGGGACGACGGCCUUCGGGUUGUAAACCUCUUUUAGCAGGGAAGAAGCGAAAGUGACGGUACCUGCAGAAAAAGCGCCGGCUAACUACGUGCCAGCAGCCGCGGUAAUACGUAGGGCGCAAGCGUUAUCCGGAAUUAUUGGGCGUAAAGAGCUCGUAGGCGGUUUGUCGCGUCUGCUGUGAAAUCCGGAGGCUCAACCUCCGGCCUGCAGUGGGUACGGGCAGACUAGAGUGCGGUAGGGGAGAUUGGAAUUCCUGGUGUAGCGGUGGAAUGCGCAGAUAUCAGGAGGAACACCGAUGGCGAAGGCAGAUCUCUGGGCCGUAACUGACGCUGAGGAGCGAAAGGGUGGGGAGCAAACAGGCUUAGAUACCCUGGUAGUCCACCCCGUAAACGUUGGGAACUAGUUGUGGGGUCCAUUCCACGGAUUCCGUGACGCAGCUAACGCAUUAAGUUCCCCGCCUGGG